Molecule: ribosomal RNA, 230 nt
Filed under: uncultured bacterium
Lineage: Bacteria
Description: partial 16S ribosomal RNA
Rfam family: Bacterial small subunit ribosomal RNA
Source: RNAcentral
UAAAGCGUGCGCAGGCGGUUUUGUAAGACUGUCGUGAAAUCCCGGGCUCAACCUGGGAAUGGCGAUGGUGACUGCAAGGCUAGAGUUUGGCAGAGGGGGGUAGAAUUCCACGUGUAGCAGUGAAAUGCGUAGAUAUGUGGAGGAACACCGAUGGCGAAGGCAGCCCCCUGGGUCAAAACUGACGCUCAUGCACGAAAGCGUGGGGAGCAAACAGGAUUAGAUACCCUAGU